Molecule: ribosomal RNA, 501 nt
Filed under: uncultured bacterium
Lineage: Bacteria
Description: partial 16S ribosomal RNA
Rfam family: Bacterial small subunit ribosomal RNA
Source: RNAcentral
AUUGAACGCUGGCGGCAGGCCUAACACAUGCAAGUCGAGCGGGGGAAGGUAGCUUGCUACCGGACCUAGCGGCGGACGGGUGAGUAAUGCUUAGGAAUCUGUCUAUUAGUGGGGGACAACAUCUCGAAAGGCAUGCUAAUACCGCAUACGUCCUACGGGAGAAAGCAGGGGAUCGUAGGACCUUGCGCUAAUAGAUGAGCCUAAGUCGGAUUAGCUAGUUGGCGGGGUAAAGGCCAACCAAGGCGAAGAUCGGUAGCGGGUGUGAGAGGAUGGUCAGCCACACUGGGACAGAGACAAGGCGCCAACUCCUACGGGAGGCAGCAGUGGGGAAUAUUGGACAAUGGGGAGAAACCUGAACCAGCCAUGCCGCGUGUGUUGAGAAGGCCUUUUGGUUGUAAAGCACUUUAAGCCAGGAGGAGGAUACUUUAGUUAAUACCUGGAGAUAGUGGACGUUACUCGCAGAAUAAGCACCGGCUAACUUCGUGCCAGCCGCCGCAGUAA